AAGACCUUGCACUUUUGGAGCGGCCGAUGUCUGAUUAGCUAGUUGGUGGGGUAAUGGCCUACCAAAGCUUCGAUCAGUAGCUGGUCUGAGAGGACGGCCAGCCACACUGGGACUGAGACACGGCCCAGACUCCUACGGGAGACAGCAGUGGGGAAUUUUGGACAAUGGGCGCAAGCCUGAUCCAGCCAUGCCGCGUGAGUGAAGAAGGCCUUCGGGUUGUAAAGCUCUUUCAGCCGGGAAGAAAAGGUUGCGACUAAUAAUCGCAAUUCAUGACGGUACCGAAAGAAGAAGCACCGGCUAACUACGUGCCAGCAGCCGCGGUAAUACGUAGGGUGCGAGCGUUAAUCGGAAUUACUGGGCGUAAAGGGUGCGCAGGCGGUUUUGUAAGUCAGAUGUGAAMUCCCCGGGCUUAACCUGGGAACU
Molecule: ribosomal RNA, 423 nt
Filed under: uncultured bacterium
Lineage: Bacteria
Description: bacterial SSU rRNA
Rfam family: Bacterial small subunit ribosomal RNA
Source: RNAcentral